GUUAAUUAGGUUUAUUUAUCCACUUUUACAAAGAUUUCCUUUUCAUUCGAAGAUUUUAUUUUAGAUUGAUCCAUUAAAAUGCUUCCUUAAUCAGUAACGGUGGUAGAAUUUAAAAACAAUAAAGAAAAACAAAAAACAAAAAGGAAAAUGACAAACACGAACAUUCGGCGAAGUCAAUCGAUAGUAGCAGUAGGGUAGGUACAAAAAUUCAAGAGACCCCACCAUAGUAAAUUAUGAAUCAACCGACACCAAGUAAUUCACAAAAAAAUAUAAGUGUGGGACCCAUUUUGUGAAAAAAGAGAAACAACUAUAUUUGUGUUAAAUUUUGUCCCCCACCCCCAUAGAAAUAUACAUAUGCACAAUUAAUUUUUUGUUGGACCAAUUCUUAAUACACAAUAUAACUAAUCGUUUCAAAAAAA
This 419-nucleotide long non-coding RNA is filed under the name Salvia miltiorrhiza (redroot sage). RNAcentral's name for it is "long non-coding RNA (SMIL_LNC000243)". Lineage: Eukaryota; Viridiplantae; Streptophyta; Magnoliopsida; Lamiales; Lamiaceae. The record is from RNAcentral.